CUUAUGCCGGCGACCGGCGGACGGGUGCGUAACGCGUAUGUAACCUACCUUUGACAGGGGGAUAACAUCGAGAAAUUGGUACUAAUACCCCAUAACAUCACCGGAGGCAUCUUCGGUGGUUGAAAACUCAGGUGGUCAGAGAUGGACAUGCGUUGUAUUAGCUAGUUGGUGAGGUAACGGCUCACCAAGGCGACGAUACAUAGGGGACUGAGAGGUCAACCCCCCACAUUGGUACUGAGACACGGACCAAACUCCUACGGAAGGCAGCAG
RNAcentral lists this ribosomal RNA (270 nucleotides) under uncultured bacterium. Its description in RNAcentral is "partial 16S ribosomal RNA". It matches the Rfam family "Bacterial small subunit ribosomal RNA", at positions 78 to 354 of the family's 1533-position model. The record is from RNAcentral.